RNAcentral lists this ribosomal RNA (398 nucleotides) under uncultured bacterium. RNAcentral's name for it is "bacterial SSU rRNA". It matches the Rfam family "Bacterial small subunit ribosomal RNA", at positions 29 to 420 of the family's 1533-position model. The record is from RNAcentral.
AUUGAACGCUGGCGGAAUGCUUUACACAUGCAAGUCGAACGGCAGCACGGGAGCUUGCUCCUGGUGGCGAGUGGCGAACGGGUGAGUAACAUAUCGGAACGUACCCAGUCGUGGGGGAUAACUCUCCGAAAGGAGAGCUAAUACCGCAUACGUCCUGAGGGAGAAAGCGGGGGACCUGCGAAGGGCCUCGCGCGAUUGGAGCGGCCGAUAUCGGAUUAGCUAGUUGGUGGGGUAAAGGCGUCACCAAGGCGACGAUCCGUAGCGGGUCUGAGAGGACGACCCGCCACACUGGAACUGAGACACGGUCCAGACUCCUACGGGAGGCAGCAGUGGGGAAUUUUGGACAAUGGGGGCAACCCGUGAUCCGAGCCAUUCCGCGUGAGUGAAGAAGGCCUCGG